GGUUGAGGACCCCUGUUCUAGAAUUUGUGACUGAUUGAAAACAGCUACUGAUUGAAAAGAGCUACAUUCAAAGACAAGGCAGGUAUUUAACAAACAUAUUAGUCACAUGCAUCAUGAAGAUGUAUGAUGACAGACCGUCCACUGUAAAAUAUUCAAGUGAAGUUUGAUGUUUGCUGACUUCAUGGACAUGCCCAUGCAAGGUUUUUUGUUUUGUUUUGUUUUUAAGUCAGAUUUACUCUUGCCACCCUCAAAGAUGUUUCUUCCGCUUCCUAUUCUGCUUUACAUCCAGGGCCAGCUUUAGGUUAAGACCAAGUAGGCACUGGCUUAGCUGCCAAAAUUUAGGGGGCUGUGCCAAUGCUGCUUUUCCUUCUGAAUCAUUCUAAAAAGGAAAAUCUUGUAUUUUGGCAGAAGGUGGUGACAUUCAAUCAAUGUGGCUUAGGGGCACCACAGACCCUUGAGCUGACCUUGCUUACAACCUUGAAUUUCCUGUUGGUUUCCCAUUCAAGGAUUCCACGGGCAUUCUGCUCCAGGUUAGACCUUGCUCAGCUUUCGAAAUGAGCCAACGUCGGUUAGUAAAGUUUGCCACUUGUCUGGGCUCUCAGUUUUAGCUCCGUAUUAAGGAGAUUUCAUCGAACAACAACUGAUUCCUGGCGAGCAGUGGCGGGGCAAAACAUCAACGUCGGACACACGCGAAAGAGAUGGGAGAACAAUUAGUUAUCCCGGAAGAUCUAACAACGUUAAUCAUAUCCGGGAAGGAUACACGCUGAACUUUUGGGCUUAUUUUCACCUCUCUCCAAACCCUGGCAAGUUCGACUGAGCCGGCCCGAAGAUCGCUUCCAUUCUCUUUCACACACUCCCCCGCCGGAGAAAUGGUACCUUCCAGAGUUUUGCCUGCCGCCGGGUGUUUGACGGAGAAAGUCGCUCGCGGACAGUUUUCAUCGGGCGGAGGCGGGAGCGGAGGCUGUGUCCGGGACGCUGGGCUGAGCCGGAGUCUGGGGAAGGCAGAGCGGAGCAAAGCAAAGUAGGAUGAGUGGGAAAGAGCCGCUCUUGGGCGCUCUGAAAGUGUGCAUUCUCAACUUUCAGGAAAGCAAUAGUCCUUACACAGAUUCCUGUCCUCAUUUACAAUCUUUUUGUGAGAUCCUGGAAAUGAUUCUUCGGAAAGGAUUAAAACAGCCAGUCCUGGGAUUCAAGAGGAAGGACUAUUGGCACUGGCUAGAGCAGCUUCCACAGCAGGAAACCCACCACAGUAGAACCCUUCUGUCCAUGAUGAUUGAGAAAACAAGUUCUUGUGAGAAGGUGCUGACAGCUCAAGGAAGAGGGCGGUACUUCCUGCGUCUGGCUUUGAAUGGGAAGUUAUUAGCAGUUGCUGUUCAGCAGCUCAUCAGAACUCCCAGGCUGCUUGAGUGUUAUGAUCCAAUAACAUCCAUCCUGAGCAAUGAAGAAUUUUCAGAGCCUUUCUUCUCCAUGAUGUUGGUGGUUACAGAAAUGAAUUUCUCCUUAGAUUUGCAGAAUUCCAGUUUCUUGGAUGAAAGCUGGCAACUUCCGGUGUGCCAGACUUAUGAAACUGUCCCCUGCCGAGAAUUGGGAAUGGUGCUGAGGUAUUUAAAUGGACGGAUUUUCAUAAUAGAAGUGCUUCCAAAGACCCAGGCAGAAGUGGAUGAGGUAGUACUAGUUGGUGAUGUCAUUGAUGAGAUAAAUGGAUCUUCACUAAGGAAUGCAUGCAAUGGACAGGCUGGUUCAGUACUGCAGAAGCUGAAAGGCAAGCCACUAAGCUUUCGCCUUAUCCGGUGGAAAUGGCACGAUGGAGGAAUGUACAAGCCAUUGUUGCCCUAUCUAAAAGUUCUCAGAGAAAAAAUCCCCAGCUUCCAACUCCAGCAUGAGCACAAACCUAAAGAAGAGAAUGAGGAGCGAAGUUUGCAAGGAGGCAGACUCCUGUACAAUCUGAGGUACAUAGGCCAGGCCAAUGUAGGGAAGUAUGGAGGCAAAGAGAUAUUAGACGUAGGCAUACCCAUGGUGUUAGAUAAGUGUUUACCACAGCAGGUAAGAUCCAUGCUGGGAAUAAGAGAUGAAUGUUUAUCAAACUACUUUAUUUUCCUCUUAAAUCAUUAUUUUAAAUUAUGUUUUUAAAUAAAGAAGCAGAUUGAAUGUUGAUCACUACAGCCCAUUGUGAUGGCAGUCUUGAUAAUUUAAUUAAUAAAGCCAAUAGGAAUUUAGGUGAUAGGGUUAUUUGAAAUGAGAAAACAGCACAGGUGAUAAGGCUUAUAUUUUAGAUAAAAACAUAUUUCUAUAUAACAAAUUCUGUAAUCCUUAGGUCUCUGAGACAGAACGUGGCUGAACUUUUGUUUUUAAUAGGAAAUGCUUUGAGAAGUGCCAUUUAAGUCAUGAAUGAGAAGUAAAUCAGGUAUCAGAAUUUUGUAGAUUAGAACUAGUAGAAAUCCACUGUUUGAGGCAGAUAUAGACAAAUGCCAUUUUGCAACACAUUUACUGACUGAACACCUCAAUGACCUUUUUUUUCCCAUUGAGAAAUAGUUCAUGAAGGCAUGAAAAUAUUUAAGCUGAUAGGGGGAAGUUGGUCCUACUGAAGUUCAGUUACGGAUUCUAUUCUGUUGCAUGAUGGUGAGUUCGGCCCGAUACAUUUAGCAACUCAUCUUCACGCAAGUGAAUUUCUCCUUGAUCAUCCAUACCUUUCCAAUUGACUUCAGCCCUCUUCAUCUUCUGGAACAGAUUUGUUACAGUAAAGGGGAAUCUAUUUCGUCAAUUAUUUCUAUUCUGCAGAUAGACAGUUCACAAAAGCCGAUUGUUUUUUUCCAUGUACCAUUUUUUUUAAAAAAAGAAUGAAAGUUAUAAUGGAUUAAGGUGACCCCCAUACUUCAUCCUCUAUUGCCAGGCCUUUAUAUUAUAGGUAAAUUCACAUUAGGAAAUCAUGGGAGGCAACAGUGGAUAUGGAGGUGCCUCAAUUGGUGCACUGCUUUCAUUACCAUUCUCUAACAAAUACUAUCCUUUACAACUCCUGGCCUUGCAGGAAUUUGCCACUAACCAAGAGGAACCGUAGAUUGUUCUAUGAGGUGGUGGGUGCCUCAGGGAUAGCAAAAUGGAGGAAGGAAGAUGGUCAGUUAAGAAGUGUGAAAUAUAUGAAUGAAUGAAUGAGUGAGUGAGUGAGUGAGUGAGUGAGUGAGUGAGUGAGUGAGUGACCGACCGACUGACCAAGUAGGGAACGUGGGGAAUGAUACAGCUCCUUCUACAUCAGGCAUGCCAGACGUGAGAGGGGGAGUCCAAUAGAUUCCCUGUGGAGGGAUAGCAAUCACCUCUACAAGCACAGAUGAGUUAAAGGAGAUCUUGUGAACUGUUGGGAAUUACCAGCAGAAGAGGGGAGUGACCCAUCUUACAGCCCACAAUCAGUUUCCUCUGAGAAGUUAUGAAAAGGAAAUCUUAUUUGAUGUCAAAGAAACAGAAGUAAUUGUUCAACACAAAACAACUUCAAAGGUUCUUUUCCGUUAUUCUUAUACAGACAUUUCCUGCGUGGGACGCCGUCUGGAUAG
This is an RNA transcript of Crotalus tigris (Tiger rattlesnake), 3539 nucleotides long. RefSeq lists it as uncharacterized. NCBI's taxonomy places the organism in Eukaryota, Metazoa, Chordata, Lepidosauria, Squamata, Viperidae. The transcript is spliced from 14 exons. The record is from RefSeq and is a predicted model, not a curated record.